RNAcentral lists this ribosomal RNA (1554 nucleotides) under Streptococcus orisuis. RNAcentral describes it as "16S ribosomal RNA". It matches the Rfam family "Bacterial small subunit ribosomal RNA". Lineage: Bacteria; Bacillati; Bacillota; Bacilli; Lactobacillales; Streptococcaceae. The record is from RNAcentral.
UAGAGUUUGAUCCUGGCUCAGGACGAACGCUGGCGGCGUGCCUAAUACAUGCAAGUGGAACGCACGUACCUUCACCGGAGCUUGCUCCACAGAAGGUAAGUGAGUCGCGAACGGGUGAGUAACGCGUAGGUAACCUGCCUGGUAGCGGGGGAUAACUGUUGGAAACGAUAGCUAAUACCGCAUAAUAGUGAUUGACUCAUGUUAAUGACUUGAAAGGGGCAAUGGCNCCACUAUCAGAUGGACCUGCGUUGUAUUAGCUAGUUGGUAGGGUAAAGGCCUACCAAGGCUGCGAUACAUAGCCGACCUGAGAGGGUGAACGGCCACACUGGGACUGAGACACGGCCCAGACUCCUACGGGAGGCAGCAGUAGGGAAUCUUCGGCAAUGGGGGGAACCCUGACCGAGCAACGCCGCGUGAGUGAAGAAGGUUUUCGGAUCGUAAAGCUCUGUUGUAAGAGAAGAACGUUGAGUAGAGUGGAAAGCUACGCAAGUGACGGUAUCUUACCAGAAAGGGACGGCUAACUACGUGCCAGCAGCCGCGGUAAUACGUAGGUCCCGAGCGUUGUCCGGAUUUAUUGGGCGUAAAGCGAGCGCAGGCGGUUUAGUAAGUCUGAAGUUAAAGGCAUUGGCUCAACCAAUGUUUGCUUUGGAAACUGUUAAACUUGAGUGCAGAAGGGGAGAGUGGAAUUCCAUGUGUAGCGGUGAAAUGCGUAGAUAUAUGGAGGAACACCGGUGGCGAAAGCGGCUCUCUGGUCUGUAACUGACGCUGAGGCUCGAAAGCGUGGGUAGCGAACAGGAUUAGAUACCCUGGUAGUCCACGCCGUAAACGCUGAGUGCUAGGUGUUGGGUCCUUUCCGGGACUCAGUGCCGGAGCUAACGCAUUAAGCACUCCGCCUGGGGAGUACGACCGCAAGGUUGAAACUCAAAGGAAUUGACGGGGGCCCGCACAAGCGGUGGAGCAUGUGGUUUAAUUCGAAGCAACGCGAAGAACCUUACCAGGUCUUGACAUCCCGAUGCCAUCCCUAGAGAUAGGGAGUUACUUCGGUACAUUGGAGACAGGUGGUGCAUGGUUGUCGUCAGCUCGUGUCGUGAGAUGUUGGGUUAAGUCCCGCAACGAGCGCAACCCUUAUUGUUAGUUGCCAUCAUUAAGUUGGGCACUCUAGCGAGACUGCCGGUAAUAAACCGGAGGAAGGUGGGGAUGACGUCAAAUCAUCAUGCCCCUUAUGACCUGGGCUACACACGUGCUACAAUGGUUGGUACAACGAGUCGCAAGCCGGUGACGGCAAGCUAAUCUCUGAAAGCCAAUCUCAGUUCGGAUUGGAGGCUGCAACUCGCCUCCAUGAAGUCGGAAUCGCUAGUAAUCGCGGAUCAGCACGCCGCGGUGAAUACGUUCCCGGGCCUUGUACACACCGCCCGUCACACCACGAGAGUUUGUAACACCCAAAGUCGGUGAGGUAACCUUUAAGGAGCCAGCCGCCUAAGGUGGGACGGAUGAUUGGGGUGAAGUCGUAACAAGGUAGCCGUAUCGGAAGGUGCGGCUGGAUCACCUCCUUUA